Molecule: long non-coding RNA, 829 nt
Organism: Oreochromis aureus
Lineage: Eukaryota; Metazoa; Chordata; Actinopteri; Cichliformes; Cichlidae
Source: Ensembl
CCACCACCACCACUCACAGAGGCUGAGCAGUUGGCCCUCAGCCAAAACAGUGGGCGCCCUGUGGCUGAAGGCAUCUCUGCAGGGACAUCCUCUGAGUCAAUAACCCCGCAAGACACAAGUGCCUACAUAAGAGGUAAAUUCAAAAUAAUACAUGAUGUGCAUACAUCCUUUCUUCACAGUCACCUUUGCAGUGCUACUCAUUCAUUUGAUAAACUCUUUACCAUAAUGAAUUAUUUUGUAGUGAAGUUAUCUUCCUACUGAUUUUGCCUUCCCUCAGUCUUGGUUGUCUUUGAGAGCAUAAUGACAAUGAAGUGUAAGGUGAUUGGUAUAUGUUUGUUAAUUGCCAUUUGGUCCCUUGUAAGUUAUAAGUGACCUGUAUAAACCUCAUAUUCUAUCAGUUGAUGGUGAUGGUGUACUGCAUCUGGUGCAGCCUCCUGUUGAGCCAGACCAACAUGCAGUUGAAAAUAAUGAAGAAACAUUGACAGCUGUUACAGAGGAGGAAGCAACAGAGACACUUUAUGAGAGUGAUGAUGGAAAUGCAGAGGAAGAGGGUCCAGCCACUUCUCCAACAAACCUUUCCUCAUUCCCUGUAAAGCAGCUGUAUAAGAAAUAUUUGAUCAAGAAAAUAAAAAAAUGCGACUUGGAAAUGGAACACUUCAAGCAGCAGAUCCAAAAGACCAAGAUUGAGAUUUUACUGCUGGAACAUCAGUUAAGGGUGGGUGAAGUGGUCAGAGAUGGACGAAUUAUUUCAGUGUUUGAACAACAUAAUAAUAUACUUAUUAAUACUUUGUGUACAGGAAAUACAGGCGACCAAUAAAGCCAGUUGAAC